GCAUUUGCCAUGUGUCUAUUAAAU
Molecule: non-coding RNA, 24 nt
Filed under: Arabidopsis thaliana (thale cress)
Lineage: Eukaryota; Viridiplantae; Streptophyta; Magnoliopsida; Brassicales; Brassicaceae
Source: RNAcentral